This is a non-coding RNA of Danio rerio (zebrafish), 74 nucleotides long. The record is from Rfam. Lineage: Eukaryota; Metazoa; Chordata; Actinopteri; Cypriniformes; Danionidae.
GUCUCUGUGGUGCAAUUGGUUAGCGAGUUUGGCUGUCAACUGAAAGGUUGGAGGUUCAAGCCCACCUAGUGACG